GGGGGCGAUAUGGCUUCGACGGGGUUAGUUGAGACCAAGGUUGCAGGUCGAGCGACCCAGUGACUCGUUAAUCCAAGGGAAUAAACUAAAAGCAGACUCUCACGAGUACGCUCUGG
Molecule: transfer-messenger RNA, 116 nt
Filed under: Deltaproteobacteria bacterium
Lineage: Bacteria; Pseudomonadati; Myxococcota; Myxococcia
Description: partial transfer-messenger RNA
Rfam family: transfer-messenger RNA
About the family: Bacterial tmRNA, also known as 10Sa RNA or SsrA, is named for its dual tRNA and mRNA-like properties. Its role is to liberate the mRNA from a stalled ribosome. To accomplish this part of the tmRNA is used as a reading frame that ends in a translation stop signal.
Source: RNAcentral